Molecule: ribosomal RNA, 416 nt
Filed under: uncultured bacterium
Lineage: Bacteria
Description: bacterial SSU rRNA
Rfam family: Bacterial small subunit ribosomal RNA
Source: RNAcentral
GAAUAUUGGGCAAUGGACGCAAGUCUGACCCAGCCAUGCCGCGUGCAGGAUGAAGGCCUUCUGGGUUGUAAACUGCUUUUAUCUAGGAAGAAAAAACCCCUGCGGGGGGAACUGACGGUACUAGGUGAAUAAGCACCGGCUAACUCCGUGCCAGCAGCCGCGGUACUACGUAGGUGGCUAGCGUUGUCCGGAUUUACUGGGCGUAAAGAGCGCGCAGGCGGUCGUUCAAGUCGAGUGUGAAAGCCCCCGGCCCAACUGGGGAGGGUCACUCGAUACUGAUCGACUUGAAGGCGGGAGAGGGAAGCGGAAUUCCCGGUGUAGUGGUGAAAUGCGUAGAUAUCGGGAGGAACACCAGUGGCGAAGGCGGCUUUCUGGUCCGUUCUUGACGCUGAGGCGCGAAAGCUAGGGUAGCAAAC